UGGGGAAUUUUGGACAAUGGGGGAAACCCUGAUCCAGCCAUCCCGCGUGUGCGAUGAAGGCCUUCGGGAUGUAAAGCACUUUUGGCAGGAAAUAAACGUCAUGGGUUAAUACCCCGUGAAACUGACGGUACCUGCAGAAUAAGCACCGGCUAACUACGUGCCAGCAGCCGCGGUAAUACGUAGGGUGCAAGCGUUAAUCGGAAUUACUGGGCGUAAAGCGUGCGCAGGCGGUUCGGAAAGAAAGAUGUGAAAUCCCAGAGCUCAACUUUGGAACUGCAUUUUUAACUACCGGGCUAGAGUGUGUCAGAGGGAGGUGGAAUUCCGCGUGUAGCAGUGAAAUGCGUAGAUAUGCGGAGGAACACCGAUGGCGAAGGCAGCCUCCUGGGAUAACACUGACGCUCAUGCACGAAAGCGUGGGGAGCAAACAGG
This 429-nucleotide ribosomal RNA is filed under the name Acidobacteriota bacterium. Its description in RNAcentral is "Acidobacteria bacterium partial 16S ribosomal RNA". It matches the Rfam family "Bacterial small subunit ribosomal RNA", at positions 355 to 776 of the family's 1533-position model. Lineage: Bacteria; Pseudomonadati; Acidobacteriota. The record is from RNAcentral.